Non-coding RNA from Triticum aestivum (bread wheat), 115 nucleotides. Lineage: Eukaryota; Viridiplantae; Streptophyta; Magnoliopsida; Poales; Poaceae. The record is from Rfam.
AAUGUACUCCCUCCGUUCGGAAUUACUUGUCGCAUAAAUGGAUGUAUCUAGACGUAUUUUAGUUCUAGAUACAUCCAUUUCCGAGACAAGUAAUUCCGAACGGAGGGAGUAUCUG